CGCUAGUAAUCGCAGAUCAGCAUGCUGCGGUGAAUACGUUCCCGGGUCUUGUACACACCGCCCGUCACACCAUGGGAGUCGGAAAUGCCCGAAGUCAGUGGCCCAACCGGAAGGAGGGAGCUGCCGAAGGCAGGUCCGGUGACUGGGGUGAAGUCGUAACAAGGUAAC
RNAcentral lists this ribosomal RNA (168 nucleotides) under uncultured bacterium. Its description in RNAcentral is "partial 16S ribosomal RNA". It matches the Rfam family "Bacterial small subunit ribosomal RNA", at positions 1333 to 1500 of the family's 1533-position model. The record is from RNAcentral.